RNAcentral lists this ribosomal RNA (1344 nucleotides) under uncultured bacterium. RNAcentral describes it as "partial 16S ribosomal RNA". It matches the Rfam family "Bacterial small subunit ribosomal RNA", at positions 43 to 1382 of the family's 1533-position model. The record is from RNAcentral.
CAGGCUUAACACAUGCAAGUCGAGGGGCAGCGAGGGUAAUAGCAAUAUUACCUGUCGGCGACCGGCGCACGGGUGCGUAACGCGUAUGCAACCUACCAUCAACAGGGGGAUAACACUGAGAAAUUGGUACUAAUACCCCAUAAUAUCUCAUGCGGCAUCGCAUGGGGUUGAAAACUCCGGUGGUUGAUGAUGGGCAUGCGUUGUAUUAGCUGGUUGGUGAGGUAACGGCUCACCAAGGCGACGAUACAUAGGGGGACUGAGAGGUUAACCCCCCACAUUGGUACUGAGACACGGACCAAACUCCUACGGGAGGCAGCAGUGAGGAAUAUUGGUCAAUGGACGCAAGUCUGAACCAGCCAUGCCGCGUGCAGGAUGACGGCUCUAUGAGUUGUAAACUGCUUUUGUACGAGGGUAAACCCCGAUACGUGUAUUGGGUUGAAAGUAUCGUACGAAUAAGGAUCGGCUAACUCCGUGCCAGCAGCCGCGGUAAUACGGAGGAUCCGAGCGUUAUCCGGAUUUAUUGGGUUUAAAGGGUGCGUAGGCGGUUUGAUAAGUUAGAGGUGAAAUGUCGGGGCUCAACCCCGAAACUGCCUCUAAUACUGUUGGACUAGAGAAUAGUUGCGGUAGGCGGAAUGUAUGGUGUAGCGGUGAAAUGCUUAGAGAUCAUACAGAACACCGAUUGCGAAGGCAGCUUACCAAACUAUAUCUGACGUUGAGGCACGAAAGCGUGGGUGGCAAACAGGAUUAGAUACCCUGGUAGUCCACGCAGUAAACGAUGAUAACUCGUUGUCGGCGAUACACAGUCGGUGACUAAGCGAAAGCGAUAAGUUAUCCACCUGGGGAGUACGUUCGCAAGAAUGAAACUCAAAGGAAUUGACGGGGGCCCGCACAAGCGGAGGAACAUGUGGUUUAAUUCGAUGAUACGCGAGGAACCUUACCCGGGCUUGAAAGUUAGCGACGACGCUUGAAAGAGCGUUUCCCUUCGGGGCGCGAAACUAGGUGCUGCAUGGUUGUCGUCAGCUCGUGCCGUGAGGUGUCGGGUUAAGUCCCAUAACGAGCGCAACCCCUACUGUUAGUUGCCAUCAGGUGAUGCUGGGCACUCUAGCGGGACUGCCGGUGUAAGCCGAGAGGAAGGUGGGGAUGACGUCAAAUCAGCACGGCCCUUACGUCCGGGGCCACACACGUGUUACAAUGGUAGGUACAGAGGGCAGCUACCCUGCGAAGGGGUGCGAAUCUCGAAAGCCUAUCUCAGUUCGGAUUGGAGGCUGAAACCCGCCUCCAUGAAGUUGGAUUCGCUAGUAAUCGCGCAUCAGCCAUGGCGCGGUGAAUACGUUCCCGGGCCUU